UGGGGAAUCUUGCACAAUGGGGGAAACCCUGAUGCAGCGACGCCGCGUGAGCGAUGAAGCCCUUCGGGGUGUAAAGCUCUUUCGGCAGGAACGAUAAUGACGGUACCUGCAGAAGAAGCUGCGGCUAACUACGUGCCAGCAGCCGCGGUAAUACGUAGGCAGCAAGCGUUGUUCGGAGUUACUGGGCGUAAAGAGUGCGUAGGCGGUUCUCUAAGUUCGGUGUGAAAUCUCCCGGCUCAACUGGGAGGGUGCGCCGGAAACUGGAGGGCUUGAGUAUGGGAGAGGAAAGCGGAAUUCCUGGUGUAGCGGUGAAAUGCGUAGAUAUCAGGAGGAACACCUGUGGUGUAGACGGCUUUCUGGACCAUGACUGACGCUGAGGCACGAAAGCGUGGGGAGCAAACAG
RNAcentral lists this ribosomal RNA (403 nucleotides) under uncultured bacterium. Its description in RNAcentral is "bacterial SSU rRNA". It matches the Rfam family "Bacterial small subunit ribosomal RNA", at positions 355 to 775 of the family's 1533-position model. The record is from RNAcentral.